UACGGAAGGCAGCAGUGGGGAAUAUUGCACAAUGGGCGCAAGCCUGAUGCAGCCAUGCCGCGUGUAUGAAGAAAGCCUUCGGGUUGUAAAGUACUUUCAGUCGUGAGGAAGGUGUUAAGGUUAAUAACCUUAGCAAUUGACGUUAGCGACAGAAGAAGCACCGGCUAACUCCGUGCCAGCAGCCGCGGUAAUACGGAGGGUGCGAGCGUUAAUCGGAAUUACUGGGCGUAAAGGGCACGCAGGCGGUUAAUUAAGUUGGAUGUGAAAUCCCCGGGCUUAACCUGGGAAUGGCAUUCAAGACUGGUUAGCUAGAGUCUUGUAGAGGGGGUAGAAUUCCAUGUGUAGCGGUGAAAUGCGUAGAGAUGUGGAGGAAUACCGGUGGCGAAGGCGGCCCCUGGACAAAGACUGACGCUCAUGUGCGAAAGCGUGGGGAGCGAAACAGGGCUUAGAUACC
RNAcentral lists this ribosomal RNA (454 nucleotides) under uncultured bacterium. Its description in RNAcentral is "bacterial SSU rRNA". It matches the Rfam family "Bacterial small subunit ribosomal RNA", at positions 340 to 786 of the family's 1533-position model. The record is from RNAcentral.